Molecule: RNA transcript, 2131 nt
Organism: Ictalurus furcatus (blue catfish)
Lineage: Eukaryota; Metazoa; Chordata; Actinopteri; Siluriformes; Ictaluridae
Gene: akirin2
Gene name: akirin 2
Exons: 5
Source: RefSeq, a predicted model, not a curated record
CACACAGUGUGAUGUGGCCUACAAGACAUUGUGCCCAGGGCCUCUAAAUUCUUAAUUCUGAAUUCUUAAUCCUAUAUUUUGCGUAAGGCCUUAACCCUUGAAUAAAGCCUUAACGGGCAAUAUGCUUACAUUGACCACAAGGCGGCAGUAAACGCAUUUUUAUUUAGAUUUCUUGCUGGCAAAAAUGCGGCGAAGAAGAAAAAGAACCAAUAACUAACGUCAUAUUAGUAAAAAAUGGUGGUGAAAGAUAAACAAGCAGUGAAGUACAAUUUGCUCAACUGUGUAUGUGCUUGAAAAUCGCUGUCAGCGUAUAAAAAAAAAAAUUUAAAAAAAAAAAAAAAAACCACCCAACGCAGUUCCCUUGUAACGGAAGCCGAUGACCUCAAGAAAGAUCGAAGCAAGAAGAAAUACAACAAGGAUUUCCAGACAUUUGCUUGAUAUUUACCGAAAACUGCUUUAUAUAACUUCAGCAAUCCAACUAGGAAAAGCAAUUGAACGGCCUUUUGAAUAGCUAGCAUCGCUAGCAUCGCUAGCGGUAAAUUAGCUAGCUAGCUAGCUACAGAUUUGCUAAGCAGAAGCUCGAGCGGCUUUUCAAGAGCUAAAGGGCCGAGAGACGUUUUAUUUAUUUUUUUACCUUAUGUUAGUUUUUGGUCGUGUUUAUUUUUAAGGUGUAAACGUAUCUAAGACUAGCAGCAAUGGCUUGUGGAGCUACAUUGAAGAGGACGAUGGAUUUCGACCCUUUGCUGAGUCCCGGCUCGUCGAAAAGGAGGAGAUGCGCCCCGGUAUCGCAGUCAUCAGCCCCGAGAAAUUACCUGCGUCAUGAGCCGAGUCCUUUCAGCCAGCUCUCGGUCACACUUACAACAGAGCAAAUCCUUAAUAACAUAAAGCAAGAAUACAAGCGCAUGCAGAAGCGGAAGCAUUUGGAUGGAAGCCUUCACCAGCCUGAGGUUUGCUCAUCCUUUAUGUCCCAGUCCCAGACCUCUCUUCUGAGUGGAUCCAGUUAUCAAGAGGCAACGGUGGAAAGGAAAAACUCCCUGAGACGAUAUGAGGGAGAAACCUUGAGAGGAACCAGACUCAAAAGGGAACCCGUCCUCACCUGGGUGACACCGGAUAGUGUGAUUAUAAAUAAACUGCACCAUGAGGAUGCAUCCGCAGCAACAGCAUGUAACGUCCAAUUCAUGAGAACUCCAACCAGAAGUCGGGCAUCAGGAUGGAUCAGGCAGGUCCGGAGAGCAGAAUUGGUUAGGAUCACUGGUCUCUGAGGCAUAUCAUGUGUAGCUCGACAGAAAGAGAGAGGGAGAGAUUAUUAGGUAUGCAUAUUGUCCCAUAAUGGUUAAGGACAAUGUACUUUGCGUGAGUGCCAGCAGGGACUCUGGUAAGACUAGCUAUGACAGCAUAACUAAAAGGAAGAGGCAGAAGGUAACAUAGACAUGAGGGUGCCCAGCCACUCCACCAUCAAAAAACCUGGGUGAAAGUGGAGGGGUGACAGCCUCCAAACAUCCCAGUUCACCACAACACUCCAUGCCUGUGAGCCCUCUAGAUCUGCUUCUUUACCUAAGAAAAAAAACUAUUCACAAAAGCUUGACUAAACAAAUGUCUUCAGCCUGGACUUAAACACUGAGACUGUGUCUGAGUCCCGAACAUUAAUUGGAAGGCUGUUCCAUAAGUGUGGGGCUUUGUAAGAGAAAGCGCUUCCCCCUAUGUAGCCUUCACUAUUCAAGGUAGUGACAAAUAGUCUACACCUUUUGAUCGAAGUAGGCGUGGCGGAUCAUACAAGACCAAAAGUUCACUCAGGUACUGUGGCAUGAGACCAUUCAGUGCUUUAUAGGUCAGUAGUAGCAUUUUAUAAUCAAUGCGAAAUUUUACUGGGCACCAACGCAGUGUGGAUAACAUCAGGGUGAUGUGGACAUAUUUUCUGGUUCUAGUAAGGACUCUUGCAGCUGCAUUCUGGACUAACUGGAGUUUGUUUAUGCACCUUACUGGAACAUCCAGACAAGACAUCCUCUGGAGCUGUUUCACCCACAAGGAGAGAACAGCCGUUGUUCACUUUAAAACAGGUCGGCAUGCUAUGUGAACGCCUUUUGAAGGAACGUGAAGAUAAGGUCAGAGAAGAAUAUGAGGAGAUCAUGAC